UAAAAAUAAAAAAGACAAUAUUUGCUAUAUAACGUAAUAUUAUUGUAAAAAUAUAUAAUAUCUUCUAUAUCUAUUUAUUUAUUCUAUAUUUUACAGUUAAACAGUGACAUUUUUAUAACAUUGCCUGUUGUGUUAAAAAUAGAUCCUGAUUUGCACAAAUUACUGAGUAUCUAAAACAUGCUGCAUAUUAAUGGCCUGUAAACGUAAUACAAAGUUUGUGCGUGGGCUCAGUUUGCAGGCCUGUGAGCGCUGGCUGAAUUGUUGAUUUGUUGAUUGCUUGUGAACAGAUGUAAACUAUUGGGUUGAUUUACGAACUUGUCUCUUUUACAAGAAUGUAGUUGUUUGUUUCAUUGUCAACUGCUGCAGAUUUUUCUCACUUGAAAUUGUAAAUAUGACGCUGUAAAUUAUUUUAUGUGCAAAACCAGGCAGUAUCAUAGGAAAAAUGAUUUUAGAAAAACAAAAACGAGAUUGGUGCGUAAUAGGUUUUGAAUGUAUGCCAAGUGGCAUUAUUGAUGUGAUCUGAAUAUUAACAACUGCCAUGUAAAUAGAUCAGUAAUAAUUCAUGCAAAAUGGAAAUUGUGUGUAUUUGCCGAUUAUUUGUAGCGAUCACAUCCUAAGUACUUUAAUCAGAUAUGUCUAGAAUGCUUUUAUUUUUCUAAGUCUUGUUUCUCUAACGGUGAUCCAUAUGUAGAUUAUAUUAACACAAAGCACACUGUGUCCCACUAGCGCCCUCUAUAGGACAGGUAUCAUCACAUUCCCCAGUUGUACUGGAUAAUUUUGAGAUUGUGGGAGUUGUGCGAUUGAAACAGGCAGCUUAAUCAAUUAAAACAAAAACAAACAAACAUUGACAAGAUUUCCUGAAACAACAUUGUAUGGAUUACUAUUGAUUUUACAAUAUACAGUAAGCCUGUAUUUACACUGCUGAUAUGCACAGAUCAGAUCAUGUUGCAUGCAUGUUUGUGCAAGGGUACAAACACAAGCGAUCAUAUUUUUUCCAUCUGAUCUGGGUCACUUUAAAAUGUGGUUCUGAAUCUGAAAUCUAUAUGAUGUGUCUGGUCAUAUGGUCAGCAUCUAAGCACUUGUGUCCACUGGUCUAAAAUCAUCACUUGGUGCUUCGCUAAGAUAAGUGAAUGCAUUGGAAUUGCACCAUUGCCUGUUGUGUCUUAAAGGAAUAGUUCACCCAAAAAAUAAAAAUUUGCUUAAGAUUUUCUCACCGUUAGGCCAUCCAAGUUGUUUGUUUCUUCAUGUUUCUUCAUCAGAACAGAAAUGUAGCAUUCCAUCACUUGCUCACCAAUGGAUCCUCUGGACUUGAUGGAAUGCCGUCAGAAUGAGUCCAAACAGUUGAUAAAAACAUGUAUUUGUGUCUCGUCUGAAUCAGGAGAGAAAUCUGCACAGAUCAAGCACAGUUUACAAGCCCAAACAGUCCAAAACAUUUCUAAACUAAUAUGUGGGUGGCUUUUGAUGUGCGAGACAACAGGAGAUGGGACUUAUUCCCCUGGAGGAGGCGUCAUUAUGGACUUGUAUUUUGGCCAGAAGAAAUUAUUAAUUUAAUUAUUAAAUAGUUAAAACGCCAUAAUGAUGGAUUUGUCAGAGGAUCCUUUGGUGAGUAAGUGAAGUAAUGCUAAAUGUUUCUAAAUCUGUUCCAAUGAAGAAGCAAACUCAUCUACAUCUUGAAUGGCAUGAGGGUGAGUAUAUUUUCAGUUUUUCAGGUGAAUGUAAACAUAUUAGAUCUGUGCAUUAGGCUUAGCAUUGUAAAGGCAGUACAACACCACAUCUACACUGGAAGCAGAUUAAAAAAACAUAACUGGUAUAAAAUUAACUUAAUGGAACAUCACAACUGGCCUUUGAAGUAAUGGUCCAACAUUUAACCCUGUAAAGCCUGACAUAUUAAAUAAUAGUCAGAAAUUUUGGAGAAAGCAAAGCAGUUUAUUGAACCUUUAUACACAAUAUAAAAGUAAAAAAAAAUUAGGGCUUAUGUGGCUCAUAGAGUAUAAUACAGUGAUAAUAUGGAGCUCAUACAACUCUGUUUGAUUCAGAGGCUCAAACUGAGGAAAAAUAAUUUGGUGCAGAUGCUGAUAUUUAUAUGGCAAAAAUAAUGAUAAUAGCUUGUAAUGUAAAUCAAUGAGAUCUUUAUAACAGUAUAGCAGACUACGUAUCGCUCAAUAAUAUGUCUUAUAAAGAUAAUAUUUAAAUGCAUAGUUUGAUGAUCAAAACAUACUGCAGUGCAAUACAAUGAUGACUGAAAGUUGAACAAAUAAACUUUCCUCAAAUUAUCAUAUUUUAUACUCAUAAUUUAACAUGAUUUUUCUAAACAGAAUUUUAAAAAAUUAUAAAAAAAGAAGCUAAAAAGUCUAAACUAUCGAUGAGACAAUAGAAGGCAUGUAGUAGACUGUGUGCAACAGGUUUAAC
This is a long non-coding RNA of Cyprinus carpio carpio, 2409 nucleotides long. NCBI's taxonomy places the organism in Eukaryota, Metazoa, Chordata, Actinopteri, Cypriniformes, Cyprinidae. The record is from Ensembl.